UUGUGUUCUGCAACGGAUUGCCCUCUCACAGAAUGUGGACAUCUAUCCAGUUAACAGCCAUGUCAUUGUGACCUGGUUACCUCCUAUUUGUGCACAUCCACUGGACAGCUUACCUGUAUAUAUGAUUUAAGUUUUAAGCAGGUCUGGAACGUCUUCAAUAUGUUGCAUACAUUUUAAGUCACUUUCGUGUCAAAUAUUUUCACUAUACAUACAUCCUGAAAUCAGCAGCAAGGAUGCUGUGGUCUUUCCAUCUUAUGUGCCAGGACACUGGAUGCUGUGUGUGAGUCUGCUUUUGCAUUACUUUAACCAAACAUUUGUCGUACAAAGUGGAAAAAGCUACAUUUAUUCCUUGAUAUCAUGCAUUCUCUAACAACUUAACACAUGGUAACAUGUUUCAGAUCAUGAAGCCAAAAUUGAGUGAAUUGUAGUUUCUCAAUUCGCUGAGAAGCCCAGGUUUUGGUGAUGGCACUUACAUUGCCAUAUACAGGUUUUGCCUAGAGUGCUAAAAAAGUAUGUUCUACAUUCAGUUCUGUUCUUUUUUUUCCCUUUUUCUAUUUCUCGACAAGAGUUGUCUUGUAGCUGUGGAGUCUUCACACUAAUGGUAGGAGUAAUAGUUAUUUUGGUUCUGCAGAUGUCAUGUCAGAAUUUAGCCCACAUGUGCAGUGAUUAAUACUUCAUUCGCUCUCUAUAUUACCCUGGGUGAAACGUUUGACUUCCCAGAGGUGGGUUUACCAACCAUAUUAAAAUAUAUUCUGUAAGUUUGCAGUUUAUUUGUUUUGAUAAACUUGUGCUUUUCCAAACUAUAGUCAGACAUGCCAAGUAUUAGAAGAUGGUGGUCUGCCCUUUUGCUGGAUCUGAUCCCACCAAGAUCAUUCACGAAAAGCCAGCAAAGAAAAAAGAGGCGAAUCGGGGCUGACAAGAGACAAGACACUGGUAUUGUUUACUUCGUUUGAGGGGCUCCAUUAUUGAUUACAAAUGUUUUUUAUUUGUUUGUUUUCCCCAAAUUACUGCUGUUCUAUUGUCUCUUCCUUGUAGUUGCAGCCAGUGACACACCCCUGAACAUACAGCAGGCAUGUAUUUGCCAUUUUAUUCGAUCUCUAAACUGCAGUUGGAUUAUUAUGUCCACAACUUUUGUUCCUCCACAGCUUCCUCCGCUAGUUUCUCCGAGCAAUCUUGCUGGAAGUUGUGGUUCAUGAUGGUGAUGUU
This is a long non-coding RNA of Carassius auratus (goldfish), 1206 nucleotides long. RefSeq lists it as uncharacterized. The record is from RefSeq and is a predicted model, not a curated record. The transcript is spliced from 3 exons. NCBI's taxonomy places the organism in Eukaryota, Metazoa, Chordata, Actinopteri, Cypriniformes, Cyprinidae.